RNAcentral lists this ribosomal RNA (301 nucleotides) under uncultured bacterium. RNAcentral's name for it is "partial 16S ribosomal RNA". It matches the Rfam family "Bacterial small subunit ribosomal RNA", at positions 509 to 807 of the family's 1533-position model. The record is from RNAcentral.
CAGUCGCCACGGUAAUACGUAGGGUGCGAGCGUUAAUCGGAAUUACUGGGCGUAAAGCGUGCGCAGGCGGUUGUGUAAGACAGAUGUGAAAUCCCCGGGCUUAACCUGGGAACUGCAUUUGUGACUGGCAGGCUAGAGUAUGGCAGAGGGGGGUAGAAUUCCACGUGUAGCAGUGAAAUGCGUAGAGAUGUGGAGGAAUACCGAUGGCGAAGGCAGCCCCCUGGGCCAAUACUGACGCUCAUGCACGAAAGCGUGGGGAGCGAACAGGAUUAGAUACCCCUGUAGUCCCUGUCUCUUAUAC